Molecule: microRNA, 22 nt
Filed under: Columba livia (rock pigeon)
Lineage: Eukaryota; Metazoa; Chordata; Aves; Columbiformes; Columbidae
Also listed under: 1 other name
Description: cli-miR-1552-3p
Source: miRBase by way of RNAcentral
CGCUAGCUGCUCUGCACUAACU